Molecule: RNA transcript, 2102 nt
Organism: Spinacia oleracea (spinach)
Lineage: Eukaryota; Viridiplantae; Streptophyta; Magnoliopsida; Caryophyllales; Amaranthaceae
Exons: 4
Source: RefSeq, a predicted model, not a curated record
AUAAGAAUAAAGUGAAAAGAACAUAAUCAUGUACUAAUGAACAUUCGAUAAAAGGUAAAUUAGUACGUACGUAGUAGUUAGAAUUACGCAUUAAUUAAUGCAAAAAUGCAUGUCGUACGUCCUUAAUAAUUUCCAGGAAAAAUCCUACGUACAACGCGCAACCUAAGUUACCUGCAGCUGACUCUGUCGUACAAAGAUAGAUCAUACACCUAAUCUUAAUUUUCUGUAUAAAUAUUAAGACAUUAAUGUACAAUUAACCAUAAUCUCUAGCUUUUAAAAAGUAUAAUCUCUUAAUUAGUUUAUAUAAUGGAAACAUUAAACUCGAACCGGAUUAUAAACCUCCAUAGAUUCCGAGCUUCCGAGACUCGGUCGUCUUGCCGUUCUACUUACCGGAGAAGCGCCGCCGCCGUCGUCGUCGAUGUAUUAGCAUUCAAGAACAAGAGAAGUGCAGGGGUUUUGAGUUCUUCAUUAGCUUGGAGCAAUAUUUAUAAAACCAGGAAAAAUUACAUAGACUCCAAAUGAAUUUGAUGAUGCAGUGGGGCAGUUUUUGAAGUUCAAGGCAAUAAUAAAAGUGUUCAAGCUUCGGCUGCUAAUACUGGUCCCUCUGGCAAGCCUUGGUGUAAUUGGCUGGUUGGAGUAAUUUUGUCAAUAGUUUUACCCUUUGCGUCUAGAAAAUGGAGUCGGAUAUUGGCUAUUAAAAAUGAAAUAGACACGGUGGUGGAGACAGUUGAAACAGUUGUAGAGACAGUUGAAACGGUGGCGAAAGAGGUGGCCCAUGUGGCGGAGGAAAUGGCCCAUCAACUUCCAGAAGGUGGGAAAUUGCAGAAUAUAGUUUGUAGUGUAGCAAAUGUGGCGGAAGAGACCGCAAAAGAUGCACACUUAAUAGAUCAACUCAUCGAAAAGGUUAGCAUAAUUCUGCUCCACUUUCUUAUUUUUUCUGAUAUGAUGUGAUCUGGUUAAGUCUGGAAUAAAUAGAAAAAAUUGAACUAAAUAGAGUAAUUUCAAUAUAAUUUAUAGGCAAGUUUUAUAAACUAAGGGCUCGUUCAUUAUUAAUAUGAGUUUCAAGUUUUUGGUUUUGAAAGUCAUGUGAUUGAGAUUGAAUCAUGAUUUAUGAACUGAAUAAUAGUUACUUUUUUCUAGUUUUUAUAUUUUGAUUUUUAGUUUUAUAAAAAAAACAGAAAACUGGCAUGGAAACAAAAACGAUAUCGAAAGUACCCUUUAGUAAUAUCCUGAAAAGGAGAAAAGUCAAAGGAAAAGCGUUUUGUUUCGUUUUACGAUCAUGCACUAUAAUAUAUUGUACCAUUAACGACGGGAAAUUCCGUCGCUAAAAGCCAAUAAUCGUUGGUUAAUGACGGGAUUUCUUGUCUUGAGCCCGUCAAAAAAGGAGGCCGUCAUUAACGGAAAAUCUCAUCGUUAACCCGUUGUAAAAAACAUUUGUGACGAUUGUUCCCGUUUUUGUUUGGUUGUUAGCCCCGUCGCAAAAUAUUUUUACGACGUGAUUUUUAACCCGUCGUUAUUAGGUUGUCAUUAAAAAUACAUAUAUUCUUGUAGUGAUGAAUUAGAUAUUAUAUAUAGUUGUAAUACUGUUAAUUUUGAAUAAUGAUAACCAAAAAGUGAAAACAUAUUUAUUAGUACAGUAGUACGACUAAUAUUAAUUAAGUUCAAGACUUUCAAUUUAAUAUUAAAUCCAUCAUAAACUUAUAAUCAGAAACAUUAUUUGUUUAAUCAAUUUUGUUGUCGUCUUUUUAUGACCAUAUACAGGUAGAAGUAGACCUGUCAAAAAUCGACCCGACCCGAAAACCGAUCCGAACCCGACCCGAAAAUACUGGGUCCUGAACAAGAUUUUGCGACCCGUAACCCGAUUUUAUCCGAACCCGAGCAACCCGAAAAGUAAUGGGUCAAAACCCGACUGAACCCGUUUUGGACCCGACCGAUUGAAAAUCAUUGUAUUUAUAGUAAUAAAUGCGAUUAUGAGAAAAUUUAAGCAUAAUAAACACGCUGUUUUUUACUAUUAUUGUGUGUAAUAUGAUUUUAAUUUGAAUUAUACGCCAUUUUACGGUUGAAUUUGACUAAAUAUAAACUUAUGUAGGAAAAUUUGUUAA